GCAGGGGUGUAUUCAUUACACCGAUUCUGUUCUAAACGUUUUGCAACAAACCCUUUACUCCAAACAAUGUUGAGUUCCGUUUUUAAACUGUCGUAGUUCAGUCGUGUCUCUUCCAAAAAAAUAAGCGGCUGGAAGAAGGUGGAAGGAACACUGCUGACUUCACUCCACGUUAGAGCAUGGAAUAAUUGAUAGAUGUGGAGUUUGUGCAGAACACUUAGCAGAUUAUUCCGAUUGGAAUGGCAACUCUUGUAAACCAUACAAUUAAAAUGAACUACAACUUCCGUUUAAGAACCCAACAGCUUUUACGUCCACGUUGAAGAGUGUUAGGAUUAAACGGUUUCUGUUACAAAACAUAUGAAACGUUUUGCAACAUAAUCGGCGUAAUGAAUACACCCCCAGGUACUUGCGGUUGUGUUUGAAUGUGAGCUGUGACUGGGCCGUGUGAUCCCGGUCCAAAGACCAAUGUUAUGGCUCAAGAAUCUUCAUAAACUAUCAUUUUAGGAACUCUGUACGGCAAGCAUUGGGGGGGGCAACAAGAGCACCCACGUCUCGUAUGAAGAGGGCAUUAGGAGUUGACAGUUCUUCAAAGUCACCACAGAGAACUUCAAGAAGGACAAACACGACGUUUGCAACACCUUCAAGUGUGUUGACAUCAAGCCAGUGUGUGGUGACCAGCAGAGUCAGAUCCUGAAGUGCUUCAGGGAAAACAUAGGACAGACCCUCGCCUGCUCUGGCAUCGCCAACCUUUACAUGCAGUGUGUGGAUAACCACAAGACUAAGUGCACUGGAGGGUAGAAGAGCCUUAAUUUCCACCAAUUGCAUUACUGUUAAACCAAAGGGACAGGCACCAUCAGCCAUCAAGGCACACCAAAGCCAGUUGAACUGUACAGACACCAGGGCCACAGCAGCUGUUCCACCAUUCCUUACUCCCAUCCAUGGUAUCUGUAUGAACUUGGCACAGGGUCAGAGGUAGAACGAGGAGACCAUGUCUUGACCCAGUCCAGGCUAUGACAGACCACUGGUACUGUCUUCGCUGGUACUGAUGUCAAAGGAUGUGGUAGAUUGGGUCUGAAAGUGAAGGAAGUGCAGUUCAAAUUGACAGUGCUACUACCACAGGAAACGGACAGUGUUACCAUGACUACACUAACACAAGAAAUAAAGCAUAGCUGGUGCUUCAAACACAUCUCAUCCCUGACUGGACGUAAACGCAUCAUAUAAUAUAUCCACCAAUCGAAAUAAUGGGAUUAAUAUUUUGCUAUUUACAGCAGUAAGAAACAUAAGGAAUGGCCGCGUUGUGAAAUAUAUUGUGCAUCGUUUGUGGAGUUAAUAUGAACCUAUGCCUUAAUGUUCCAUCAAAACAUAUUUCUGAAUCAUGGAGGGUGUGAAAGGGAGUUGUUCUGAGCUCAAUAAAUUGUUGUGAAACCCCUAUCAGCCUUCAGAUUUGAAUGUAUAUCAGUUUAGUGAUAAGAAUGUGAAAUGAAAAGAGAAUGUUCGAUUUACUUGGAUAGCACUACGUGUGGACAUGCUUCCCUUCCUAUAGAACAUUUACACAGUUGGAUAUGGAGAGCAUAACAAGUCAACAACAUACCCAAAGAGUACUUUAUCUUUAAAACGGUUAGCAUUUUAACUUUACCUGUGUGGAAAUAGAUCAUCUUUUGAUACCUGUCACUCUGUGUAUAGGUUACUGCGCUCAUGUUUUUUUGGCCAUUGGAUUGCGCACCAUUUUGUAAUACUGCAGCCUGAGAUGGGGCGACCCGGGUGUACUGUAUCUCAGAGGUGGCACCACAGGUCCCAGUGUGGUGUGGCGUAGAAAAAUUCUAGUUUUUCCUAAUCUGGUAACCUAACCAAGUAAAAUGCUGAACCUUACACGGUAUAACGUGAUUCAUCUGUUGUAAAAUGGGCUAUGAUGGGACCAGAGUUUUUGGUUGAAAAAACUCCUGGAAAAACUCCUGGCCUUGGGGAGGAUGAAAACCCUGUCAAACUGCAGCAACCUUAUACUUGUUCAUAUGAAUUAUAUUUUAAAACAGGACUAACGGGGUUUCCUAUACAUAGGCACAUAGAAAGCAACAUAAUUUUACAAUUAAACUCACAGGGCUGCACUUGCUUUAUGCAGGUUUGCAUUGUGUAGUCAUGCCCUAUGCAAUUAACUGUGUGCCUCAUUAAAAAUGUAUUCAGUCUGUCAGCUAUUGUAUUUAUUGAUUCAUUCCAGUUAAUCAUUUUGGAUUGGAAAAAGUCUAGGUAGCCUAGUCAGCCCAAAUUUGAAUAUAAAACCAAUUUGAUCCCAUUCACAUUUCCUCACACACAAAUGGGCUAUAAAUGCACACAAUUACCACUUAAUGUAC
Molecule: long non-coding RNA, 2342 nt
Filed under: Salmo salar (Atlantic salmon)
Lineage: Eukaryota; Metazoa; Chordata; Actinopteri; Salmoniformes; Salmonidae
Description: lncRNA (ENSSSAG00000094328.1)
Source: RNAcentral